UGAAGCUGAUGUCACUGUAGGG
Molecule: unclassified non-coding RNA, 22 nt
Filed under: Mus musculus (house mouse)
Lineage: Eukaryota; Metazoa; Chordata; Mammalia; Rodentia; Muridae
Description: oocyte_clustered_small_RNA11917
Source: RNAcentral